UUUGCUUAUCUUCACUCCCUAUACAAAUUUUGAUCUGCAUAUUUUUAUAAUGAAUUGCUUUCGGUUAUUGUCGCUGUCAUUCAAUUAUGUUGGGUUGCAUGCAAUUACAAAACAAUUUCCAUAAAAAGUCAAAUAUACACAAUAUACAAGCGCUGGAAAACCUACAAUAAAACAUUCCAUCAACCAGCUGAACAAGUAUUUUGUUAGCAUUCGUAAUAUUGAACAUUUGAAGUCUUCCGAUCGGUUCUUAUGGAAAAUUUCUGCAAUUUAUGUUUCUAUAUAAGUGAUAAUAGCAGUCGAAGAUAUAAAGCCGGAGAUUAGUAAAUUCCAUUUUGAAAAUGGAAUUUCGCAGUUUUUGCAUUUGGCACUUAAAUGGCAUAGAAAUAUGUUCACUUAACUAUUUCAGUUGUUGCUUUUAAUACAGAGUGGAACUGAUGCGUUUGAUGGUAACAUUUUAGCGAUCUCGUGAAGAGUCAUAAAAUGAUAACAUGGAUUUAGAAUAUUCCUGAGGAGUAGUAAAAACGCCAUAUUUUACGAGAAGAAAAUUACUUGAAUUGGAUAAUUAUACCAACAGAUUUGCUCAAGUGUGUUAUUUCAAAUGUGAUUCCAGGGAAAUUUAGGUCAACAGCUUGAAUUUAUAAGUCUUAACAUGUCCAUUUUAUAUCCUCUAAAUAAAGCAAGAUGUUAAGAUUACAGCUAGAAAGAAUAA
Molecule: long non-coding RNA, 709 nt
Organism: Dendroctonus ponderosae (mountain pine beetle)
Lineage: Eukaryota; Metazoa; Arthropoda; Insecta; Coleoptera; Curculionidae
Exons: 2
Source: RefSeq, a predicted model, not a curated record